CAAGUCGAACGAAACUUUCUUACACCGAAUGCUUGCAUUCACCGUAAGAAGUUGAGUGGCGGACGGGUGAGUAACACGUGGGUAACCUGCCCUAAAAGAAGGGGAUAACACUUGGAAACAGGUGCUAAUACCGUAUAUCUCUAAGGAUCGCAUGAUUCUUAGAUGAAAGAUGGUUCUGCUAUCGCUUUUAGAUGGACCCGCGGCGUAUUAACUAGUUGGUGGGGUAACGGCCUACCAAGGUGAUGAUACGUAGCCGAACUGAGAGGUUGAUCGGCCACAUUGGGACUGAGACACGGCCCAAACUCCUACGGGAGGCAGCAGUAGGGAAUCUUCCACAAUGGACGCAAGUCUGAUGGAGCAACGCCGCGUGAGUGAAGAAGGUCUUCGGAUCGUAAAACUCUGUUGUUAGAGAAGAACACGAGUGAGAGUAACUGUUCAUUCGAUGACGGUAUCUAACCAGCAAGUCACGGCUAACUACGUGCCAGCAGCCGCGGUAAUACGUAGGUGGCAAGCGUUGUCCGGAUUUAUUGGGCGUAAAGGGAACGCAGGCGGUCUUUUAAGUCUGAUGUGAAAGCCUUCGGCUUAACCGGAGUAGUGCAUUGGAAACUGGAAGACUUGAGUGCAGAAGAGGAGAGUGGAACUCCAUGUGUAGCGGUGAAAUGCGUAGAUAUAUGGAAGAAC
RNAcentral lists this ribosomal RNA (681 nucleotides) under uncultured Bacilli bacterium. RNAcentral describes it as "bacterial SSU rRNA". It matches the Rfam family "Bacterial small subunit ribosomal RNA", at positions 58 to 707 of the family's 1533-position model. Lineage: Bacteria; Bacillati; Bacillota; Bacilli. The record is from RNAcentral.